Molecule: long non-coding RNA, 1013 nt
Filed under: Felis catus (domestic cat)
Lineage: Eukaryota; Metazoa; Chordata; Mammalia; Carnivora; Felidae
Description: lncRNA (ENSFCAG00000047577.1)
Source: RNAcentral
UCGCACUGCAUAAUCAGCUGGUAAUUACAGCUUCCAUCUCUGGCUUGUGCCUCCCUGACUUUGGCUCAGAGGACGGGAACCGUUUCAUAUUUAAUCAGUAUUUGAGCCGGAACGCUCUCAAGGGAGCAGGCUCAUGUCGGGGUAGAGAGUCGAAUUCUCAGUGACGUUAAUUAGAACAGGAAAACUACCUGAGCUGGGAGCGGGGCUGCGGUGGGGCCUCCCAGGGACAAAAAAAAAAAAGAGAGAGAGAGAGAGAGAGAGAGAGAGAGAGAGGGCACACCCCGCUCGCCUCACCCCAGCCCAGCACAGGUGAGCCAAGCCGCUGGCAGCUGUCAUCCCCGCCAGGGACAGGACAGAGCCAACGGUCCCGCCGAGGCCUGGGUGCCUUUGUCAAACUGAGCGGCCACUGGCGGUCUGCGGAAGAGUCAGCCACCCUCUCCUGCAGGUCCCCUCAGGGGCUUUCUGGAAGGACCCAGGAGCGAAGGGAGCAGGAAGGAUCACAGUGGCAGAUUAGGGGCAUUUCCAGACCGCCAAGCGAAUGCCUUCUGCAGCAGGGACAGGACCUCUCCUUAAUCGGCCACCACCUCCCUCUCUCCGUUCUCAGCCUGCCGGCCCGAGCCUGCCACGUCCAGCAGAGGGAGAGGAAGGACCCGGCCUGCUGGCCAGAGUCACCCUCACGCGCACAUUUUAACUUUCUGGAACAUCAUGUUCUCUCCCUCCUGGAAUGCGUCGCGGCCCCAGUCCGCGUGCGUUUGUGUGGCUUGCCGGUGAGCUUGGGAAAGCAAAGUCUGUUCUUCCUGACCUGUCCGUCCCAGCACCUAGCGCGGGGCCCAGCACGCAGCAGGUGCUUGCAGAAUGAACAAGCGAACCGAGAGCCGAGCGAGUGACAGGCAGCUGGGAGAGGGCCGUCCUCGGGCCAGGGCCACACCAGUGCAGGCAGCAGGUUAAGAGGUGCAAACCCACCCGGCCGAGACAUGUCUCACAGUGACUUCCGGGAGGAGGGCCCUCACCCG